This 468-nucleotide ribosomal RNA is filed under the name uncultured bacterium. RNAcentral describes it as "partial 16S ribosomal RNA". It matches the Rfam family "Bacterial small subunit ribosomal RNA", at positions 28 to 507 of the family's 1533-position model. The record is from RNAcentral.
GACGAACGCUGGCGGCGGGCUUAACACAUGCAAGUCGAACGGAAAGGCCCUGCUUUUGUGGGGUGCUCGAGUGGCGAACGGGUGAGUAACACGUGAGUAACCUGCCCUUGACUUUGGGAUAACUUCAGGAAACUGGGGCUAAUACCGGAUAGGAGCUCCUGCUGCAUGGUGGGGGUUGGAAAGUUUCGGCGGUUGGGGAUGGACUCGCGGCUUAUCCGCUUGUUGGUUGGGUAGUGGCUUACCAAGGCUUUGACGGGUAGCCGGCCUGAGAGGGUGACCGGCCACAUUGGGACUGAGAUACGGCCCAGACUCCUACGGGAGGCAGCAGUGGGGAAUAUUGCACAAUGGGCGGAAGCCUGAUGCAGCAACGCCGCGUGCGGGAUGACGGCCUUCGGGUUGUAAACCGCUUUCGCCUGUGACGAAGCGUGAGUGACGGUAAUGGGUAAAGAAGCACCGGCUAACUACGUG